RNAcentral lists this transfer RNA (77 nucleotides) under Alteromonas sp. RNAcentral's name for it is "tRNA-Val". It matches the Rfam family "tRNA". From Rfam's summary of the family: Transfer RNA (tRNA) molecules are approximately 80 nucleotides in length. Their secondary structure includes four short double-helical elements and three loops (D, anti-codon, and T loops). Further hydrogen bonds mediate the characteristic L-shaped molecular structure. tRNAs have two regions of fundamental functional importance: the anti-codon, which is responsible for specific mRNA codon recognition, and the 3' end, to which the tRNAs corresponding amino acid is attached (by aminoacyl-tRNA synthetases). tRNAs cope with the degeneracy of the genetic code in two manners: having more than one tRNA (with a specific anti-codon) for a particular amino acid; and 'wobble' base-pairing, i.e. permitting non-standard base-pairing at the 3rd anti-codon position. The record is from RNAcentral. Lineage: Bacteria; Pseudomonadati; Pseudomonadota; Gammaproteobacteria; Alteromonadales; Alteromonadaceae. RNAcentral also lists the same sequence under 10 other names.
GCGUCUAUAGCUCAGUUGGUUAGAGCGCUACCUUGACAUGGUAGAGGUCGCCUGUUCGAAUCAGGCUAGACGCACCA